This 1024-nucleotide ribosomal RNA is filed under the name uncultured bacterium. RNAcentral describes it as "bacterial SSU rRNA". It matches the Rfam family "Bacterial small subunit ribosomal RNA", at positions 60 to 1072 of the family's 1533-position model. The record is from RNAcentral.
AGUCGAACGGCAGCAUGAUCUAGCUUGCUAGAUUGAUGGCGAGUGGCGAACGGGUGAGUAAUACAUCGGAACGUGCCCUGUAGUGGGGGAUAACUAGUCGAAAGAUUAGCUAAUACCGCAUACGACCUGAGGGUGAAAGUGGGGGACCGCAAGGCCUCAUGCUAUAGGAGCGGCCGAUGUCUGAUUAGCUAGUUGGUGGGGUAAAGGCCCACCAAGGCGACGAUCAGUAGCUGGUCUGAGAGGACGAUCAGCCACACUGGGACUGAGACACGGCCCAGACUCCUACGGGAGGCAGCAGUGGGGAAUUUUGGACAAUGGGGGCAACCCUGAUCCAGCAAUGCCGCGUGUGUGAAGAAGGCCUUCGGGUUGUAAAGCACUUUUGUCCGGAAAGAAAUCGCACUUACUAAUAUUAGGUGUGGAUGACGGUACCGGAAGAAUAAGGACCGGCUAACUACGUGCCAGCAGCCGCGGUAAUACGUAGGGUCCAAGCGUUAAUCGGAAUUACUGGGCGUAAAGCGUGCGCAGGCGGUUGUGCAAGACCGAUGUGAAAUCCCCGGGCUUAACCUGGGAAUUGCAUUGGUGACUGCACGGCUAGAGUGUGUCAGAGGGGGGUAGAAUUCCACGUGUAGCAGUGAAAUGCGUAGAGAUGUGGAGGAAUACCGAUGGCGAAGGCAGCCCCCUGGGAUAACACUGACGCUCAUGCACGAAAGCGUGGGGAGCAAACAGGAUUAGAUACCCUGGUAGUCCACGCCCUAAACGAUGUCAACUAGUUGUUGGGGAUUCAUUUCCUUAGUAACGUAGCUAACGCGUGAAGUUGACCGCCUGGGGAGUACGGUCGCAAGAUUAAAACUCAAAGGAAUUGACGGGGACCCGCACAAGCGGUGGAUGAUGUGGAUUAAUUCGAUGCAACGCGAAAACCUUACCUACCCUUGACAUGCCACUAACGAAGCAGAGAUGCAUUAKGUGCUCGAAAGAGAAAGUGGACACAGGUGCUGCAUGGCUGUCGUCAGCUCGUGUCGUGAGA